Molecule: transfer RNA, 73 nt
Filed under: Camelus bactrianus (Bactrian camel)
Lineage: Eukaryota; Metazoa; Chordata; Mammalia; Artiodactyla; Camelidae
Also listed under: 2 other names
Rfam family: tRNA
About the family: Transfer RNA (tRNA) molecules are approximately 80 nucleotides in length.
Source: Rfam by way of RNAcentral
GAGGGUAUAGCUCAAGUGGUAGAGCACAUGCUUAGCAUGCACAAGGUCCUGGGUUCAAUCCUCAGUACUGCCU